UUCUUUUAUUGCUUUAGAAAAUAACUCAAAACUAAAGCUCUCACAAAUCUCUCAAUCUCACACACUAAAGUCAUAACUCGACUUCUCUAUUUAUAUAAAACCAAAACCACCUAAGUCCUAAUCCAAAUAGGACUUUAUAAAACCAUAAAACCAUUAACCCUAAUCCAUAUCUCGGUAGGAUUAUAAUAACUUGUCCUUCAAGUCUUCGUCUUCUUCAAGCUUAACUCAACAUUCUCCCCCUUAAGCUUGAACACAUCCUUCUUCAAGUCCUGAACUCCAAUGAACUCUCUCAUUUCCCUAAACUUGAUCUUCCCUAAAGCCUUUGUUAAAAUGUCCGCCUUUUGUUCCUUUCCCGGAACAUACUCCACUUCUAUAUAUCCAUUCUCAACACAUUCUCUUAUAAAAUGAUAACGCCUAUGAAUAUGUUUACUUCUUCCAUGAAAAACUGGAUUUUUAGUGAGUGCUAGAGCUGACUUGUUGUCCAAGAAAAUUGUAACCUUUUCACUAGAAGAACCAGUUAUUUCACCAAGUAGAUCCUGAAGCCAUAUGGCUUGCUUUGCAGCUUCAGUACCUGCCAUAAACUCUGCCUCACAUGACGACAUUGCCACCGUGUUUUGUUUAUGAGUACACCAUGUAAUGGGAAAAUUAUUGAGAUAAAAGAUGUGGCCUGCUGUACUCCUUCCAUCAUCUUUAUCCACAUUGUGCGAACUGUCACUGUAUCCUAUUAAGCCACUCUUGUCUCCACGGGUGAAGUCUAAUCCAAAAAACGACGUUCCACGUACGUACCUGAGUACUGCCUUCAUUGCAGCACCAAGCGAUUGUCUUGGAUCAUGCAUAUAGCGACUCAAGAUUCCUACACAAUACGCGAGAUCCGGCCGUGUGUGAAGCAAGUACCGUAGACAGCCGAUGUUUCUCCUAUACUCUGUCUCAUCGAUGCAUUCUUCUUCUUGUGAUUUAGACAACUCAAGACCAGCUUCCAUUGGUCUAAGAGUCGAGUUACACUCUUUCAUGCCAGUCUCCUCGAGUAUUUUCUCGGCAUAUCUCUCUUGUUUCAGCAUGAUCCCUCCAUGAUAUUGCAGUACUUCAAUCCCAAGGUAGUAUGUUAAGCGCCCAAGAUCACUCAUUUCAAAUUUUGACGCCAUUCCCCUUUUGAAAUCGAUUAUCAAACCCAAAUUUGAACAUGUGACAAGCAAAUCAUCAACGUAAACAGCAACAAUUAGAAUAUGCUCCCUUUCUUGUUUCCGAUACAAUGAGGGUUCUUUUGCACAUUUUUCAAAUCCUAAUUCUUUGAGAAUCCCGUUGAGUUUGUUGUUCCAAGCUCUUGGUGCUUGUCUUAAACCAUAGAGCGCCUUGUUUAGCUUGUAAACUUUGUCUUCUCUCCCCUUUGCUUCAAAGCCUUCUGGUUGUUUAACAAAUACUACUUCUUUUAAUUCACCAUGCAAGAAAGCGGUUUUGACAUCGAGAUGAUGAACUUCCCAAGAGUUUGAAGCAACAAGAGCAAGAAUGAACCGGAUUGUCUCAAUACGAGCUACGGGAGCAAAGACUUCGUCGAAAUCAAUACCAUGUCGUUGUACAUACCCUUUGGCCACGAGCCUUGCCUUAUAUUUAUUUAAGCUUCCAUCAGAAUUCCUCUUGAUUUUAAAAACCCAUUUUAAGCCNNNNNNNNNNNNNNNNNNNNNNNNNNNNNNNNNNNNNNNNNNNNNNNNNNNNNNNNNNNNNNNNNNNNNNNNNNNNNNNNNNNNNNNNNNNNNNNNNNNNGUUGAUUGAAUUGAUCUCCUCUUGGCAUGCAUCUCUCCACUCCUUUAAAUUUUUUGCUUCAUCAUAAUUCCAAGGUUCUUGGUUUACAGCCAACAGAAGCUUUUCACACUCAAUCUGAGCCAUUAGAACAUAGUCUUCUAAGUGUUUUGGCAUCGUGAUCUGUCUUGUUGAUCUUCUUAACGGGACAGGUAUGUCAUUGUCUUCAGUCUCUGUUUCUUGAUCAUCACUCUCCUCCCUGUUACUGUUUUCACUAAGAGCAUCCUCAUCUCUUCUUUCUUCGUUGUUGACAAGAACAAGGUCUUCUUUUAUGCCUUUGUUUCCAUAAUCUUCGAAGUUAACUGUGAACAUCCCUGGUUUGGGUUCAGAAUCUUUCUCGAGAUUGUUCCACCUCCAGCUCCUACUCUCGUCAAAAACAACGUCACGACUCACCGUUAUCUUCUUUGUUGUUGGGUCUAGUAGUCGAUACGCUUUUGACCCUGGUUCAGUUCCGAGGUGUACUAAUUUUCUGGAUCGAUCAUCUAACUUUCUUAAGUGAGGAGCUUCCACCUUUGCAUAGCCAAGACACCCAAAUACGCGGAGAUGCUCAAUAUUCGGUUUUCUUCCUUUGUAUACCUCAUAUGGGGUUUGUGUCUUCAGCACUCUUGUUGCUACUCUGUUUAUGACAUAGGUAAAAUGUCUCACUGCUUCUCCCCAAAGGUAGUUAGGUACACUCAUGUACUUUAGGAUGCUUCUAGUCAUUUCCAUAAGAGUUUACUUCCCAAGAAUUUCAAAGCUUUUGUGAAAGUAAUGGCAUACAACGACACCUAACCGCACCAUACUCACCGCAGCAAAAUGGAGUCGUAGAGAGAAGAAAUCGAACGCUUAUGGAAAUGACUAGAAGCAUCCUAAAGUACAUGAGUGUACCUAACUACCUUUGGGGAGAAGCAGUGCUCGCGCCAUAUUGUUCUUAUCCUCGUCUUCGUCUCCGGGGUCAAUCGAUUCCCAAACUUUGUGGACCUUAAGUAGGAGCUCCAUACGAAUAGACCAAACCGCAUAGUUGGUACUAGUAAGCAUUGGACAUUGUAUGGAAGAAGAUCCACUCUCCUUUGGCUUUGGCUGGGCAGCCACUAUCUCAGCCAUGGUCUAAACAAUAUGAUUUUGCUCUGCUACCAAAUAUUGUUUUAGAAACCUUAAGAACAAGAGAUCAAGAAUAUAUAAAAGACACCUUUCUUUUAUUGCUUUAGAAAAUAACUCAAAACUAAAGCUCUCACAAAUCUCUCAAUCUCACACACUAAAGUCAUAACUCGACUUCUCUAUUUAUAUAAAACCAAAACCACCUAAGUCCUAAUCCAAAUAGGACUUUAUAAAACCAUAAAACCAUUAACCCUAAUCCAUAUCUCGGUAGGAUUAUAAUAACUUGUCCUUCAAGUUUUCGUCUUCUUCAAGCUUAACUCAAC
RNAcentral lists this long non-coding RNA (3194 nucleotides) under Capsella rubella. RNAcentral's name for it is "long non-coding RNA (CRUB_LNC002773)". The record is from RNAcentral. Lineage: Eukaryota; Viridiplantae; Streptophyta; Magnoliopsida; Brassicales; Brassicaceae.